ACAAGCGGAGGAGCAUGUGGUUUAAUUUCGAUGAUACGCGAGGAACCGUUACCUGGGCUUAAAUGCUUAAUGACGUACUGGGAAACUGGUAUUUCUUCGGACAUUUUGCAAGGUGCUGCAUGGUUGUCGUCAGCUCGUGCCGUGAGGUGUCGGGUUAAGUCCCAUAACGAGCGCAACCCCUAUUGUUAGUUGCCAUCAGGUCAUGCUGGGGACUCUAACAAAACUGCCCGCGUAAGCGUGGAGGAAGGUGGGGAUGACGUCAAAUCAGCACGGCCCUUACGUCCAGGGCUACACACGUGCUACAAUGGCCGGUACAGAGGGCAGCCACUUGGUGACAAGGAGCAAAUCUCAAAAGCCGGUCUCAGUUCGGAUCGGAGUCUGCAACUCGACUCCGUGAAGUUGGAUUCGCUAGUAAUCGUAGAUCAGCAAUGCUACGGUGAAUACGUUCCCGGGUCUU
RNAcentral lists this ribosomal RNA (457 nucleotides) under uncultured Bacteroidota bacterium. Its description in RNAcentral is "bacterial SSU rRNA". It matches the Rfam family "Bacterial small subunit ribosomal RNA", at positions 925 to 1382 of the family's 1533-position model. Lineage: Bacteria; Pseudomonadati; Bacteroidota. The record is from RNAcentral.